This 252-nucleotide ribosomal RNA is filed under the name uncultured bacterium. Its description in RNAcentral is "partial 16S ribosomal RNA". It matches the Rfam family "Bacterial small subunit ribosomal RNA", at positions 524 to 776 of the family's 1533-position model. The record is from RNAcentral.
UACGAGGCGGCAAGCAGUGUUGGUGAAUUAUUGGGCGUAAAGCGCGUGUAGGCGGCUUUGCAAGUCGGGUGUGAAAGCCCUCAGCUUAACUGAGGAAGUGCGCCCGAAACUGCAGAGCUUGAAUACCGGAGAGGAUGGCGGAAUUCCCCAAGUAGAGGUGAAAUUCGUAGAUAUGGGGAGGAACACCGGUGGCGAAGGCGCCAUCUGGACGGCUAUUGACGCUGAGGCGCGAAAGCUAGGGGAGCAAACGGG